Molecule: long non-coding RNA, 1583 nt
Organism: Phascolarctos cinereus (koala)
Lineage: Eukaryota; Metazoa; Chordata; Mammalia; Diprotodontia; Phascolarctidae
Source: RefSeq, a predicted model, not a curated record
AUUGAGAAGGGACUUUCCAGAGACUUUAGCGUGCAGGGUGUGGAAAGGGAAUAAAAGCAUAUGCAAAUGGGGUUUUUAGUCUCUUCCUUUCUAAUCAUAGACGGUGCAGGAGAGCAUGAGUGUUCCUCCUGAAGGCAGGCAGUAAAUGCUCCCCCUGACACUGCUUGUCAUCUGUCUUCUCUCUGACAGCAAGGCCUAGCGUGAAGGAGUGACCUAUGAAAAAUAAAACCAUGCAAAGGGGUUGACUGAAGAGGAGGAAGGAAACAUGAGGAGGAAGGGAAAAAAAAGCAUGGGAUUGGAAAAGAUAAAGUAAAAUGAAUUUUUAGGAUGCCACCGUGAGUAAGAGCUGGGGAAAAAAAUGAUUCUAAGCUGAUUUAUUAUGUACUUAUCUUCUGUCUGAAAGGCUGUAUGCUUUUAUGUAGUGGGGUUUUGUAGAGAAAAUGGCACAUGAAAGAUACGUUCAAGAUAUUUAAGCUUAUUGAAUGAUGUUAUAGUUAAAGCAGGAGGACGUGGUGAGCAUCACCAAGAUCCUUGGGAGAGAGUGUGCUGAAAUCACUCAAUGAGCAUUUAUUAAGACAUCAAAUGAAAUCUCAUCUUGCACUGUGGGUAUGGGGAAAGCAGCCCAUAUUACCCAUAUCUAGAAUUGAAUGCAAGCACAUGGGAAAAGCAGCAGACUUUGUUUGAGGCAAGAAGAUGGGAGAUACUCUAGAGAACCUGUAUCUUCAGCUUUGAGAACUGAAUUCCAUGGGUCGUCUUUGUAUCAGACCUAUGAAACUCAGUUCUUCAGCUGGGAUAUCUCUGCCGUCACAGACAAAGGGUGAAAUAUGAAAGCCUGGAACAUGAUUCUUUGGGAUCUUAGCAGAUCAGAAGCAAGGAGACAGACUCUACAGGAACAUGCAAUGGAGGACAUUUUCUAAUGGAAAGAAUCAUGAACUAGGAGUCCAGAGUCCUGGUCCUGUAUUUGGCUACAUCACAAACUGGCAGCAUGACCUCAGGCAUGGCAUUUAAAUGGUUUGUAUUUUAAUUUUCUCACCUGUGAAAUGAAAACAGACCUUCACUUAAGUGUCACUCUAAUGCCUUAUUGGAGUAUGGAGAUAAUUCUAGGUUCUCAAAAGCAAUACCAGCGGAGGACAAAUUGCGGGAAAUUCUAUGACUUGGAAAGGCUUGAGUUUGAACCCAAUGACAGACUGUACGGGUUGACUGAAGACCAGGCUAAUUAAGUGUGUAGUUUUCUCACCAGAAUGUUGACAACCAAGUAAUGACUUUUUUUGCCCAGCACAACUCAUUCUAUCUACUGAAGUAUGGGGGAGUGGUGGAGAGAUAACAAUCUGUAUUGGUAAAGGGAGUGUCCUCAAUGAUGAUAUCAUAGAUCUUCUGAAAUAUCGAAGUGUCACACCAGAGUAUUAUGGAGAACAGAUAAGAUAAUGCAGAUGAAAGUUCUUUGAAAUGAAUAAAGUAUUAUACAAAAGCAAUAUUAUGUUUUAUCUGAAGUCGUAAGAUCAUACAUUAAGAGCUGGCAAGAUCAGAGAGUGCAACCCUUCAUUUUGCAGAUAAGGAAUCUGAGGCCCAGAGAGAGAGAUCAA